This 27-nucleotide transfer RNA is filed under the name Lepilemur dorsalis (gray-backed sportive lemur). RNAcentral's name for it is "partial tRNA-Gly". The record is from RNAcentral. RNAcentral also lists the same sequence under 2 other names. Lineage: Eukaryota; Metazoa; Chordata; Mammalia; Primates; Lepilemuridae.
AGCUUCGGCACAACCCGAAAAAGAAUA